This is a long non-coding RNA of Ipomoea triloba (trilobed morning glory), 941 nucleotides long. RefSeq lists it as uncharacterized. The transcript is spliced from 3 exons. NCBI's taxonomy places the organism in Eukaryota, Viridiplantae, Streptophyta, Magnoliopsida, Solanales, Convolvulaceae. The record is from RefSeq and is a predicted model, not a curated record.
CCUUUACUUUCAACAUCAAAUCCUCAAAAUGGGAGGAGAAGUCUUUGCUAGCCCAAUUUGAAGAGAAGGAAAUUCCUCCUCCCUUUGGUCACAAUGGUGACAUAGGGCUUUCAGAUGAAUUUUCUGAAAAUAUUCGGAUUCUGGUUGCCUUGUGUUAUACUGAGCUUUAUGCAUAUUGUGUCAAGAUUCAUGCGGAAGGUGUUCUUGAAUUCAUAUCUUACCGGGCUAUAAAGGAAAUUCAGUGUGUUGGAGAGGAUGGGGAUGGCUUAAAAUGUGAUCUGACACAACUAGCUGAUCUGGGAGGUGGCAAAUUUUGUGUGGUUACUGGUUCCCGUGCGAUAGAUGUCUUAAUCUACGUGUUUGAAAUAAAUUUUGAUCUUGAAUAUAGCAUUCAAUCCUCCCGAAGUAGAGUUGGAGCCUCCUCAGGAAUCCUUUACUACAAGAAAUUCCAGCCUGGGAGUAAUAUUCAAUCUUUUUGUAUUGUCUCUGCCCCUCCAGCAAUUGAAGACCAAGACAGGGUGGAGAGCACAACUAAAAGGGAGAGAAGUGGGGAUGAAACCGUGCAUAAGGCCAAGUUCCUCCGUUCUUUAUGAGUGGUGUGUUUGAUGUGGGCAUGGCCAUGCUUGGUGCCUUGGACCGACCAUCUUUUUAAUUGAUCAGCUUUAGUUGUGAAUGGCCAGAAGUUUACUUUUUUGGGUUUAUGAUGAAUUUGUAGUUAUAUGCCUUGGCACAGAAACUUAACUGCCAACUAUUGUUUUGUUUCUACCUUUUACAACACAAGGCAAAUUAUAUGGGGGAUGAAUCUGUUCUGGAGCUUAUGGAAUGCUAAAAAGUUAAUUUAGCUGUUCAUUAUGUAUAGAGAAAUGGUGCAUAUUUACUCUUAACAGUAUAUUAUAUUUUACAUAUAUGCCCCAUCUAUAUGUGGAUGCAUUGAUCUGAUC